UAGGCAACCACAGACUGGGAGUGCAAGCCUGACUUAAUCCUGAAGGGAGCUGACAAAGGAUCCUUGGUGGCAGCAAUUUCCUGUGACUGUACAUUUCCGACUACUUCACUGGCUCCAACUUGGCCCAAAGGAAACGGCUUAGUGUUAUUCGACGCGUUCUCACGACCGGCCAGGAAGAACACAACAACCAGAAUCUUCUACGGCAAAGCUUUAUUACUUACAUCUUAUGGGGCCAGAGUGUAAGAAGCAAGAGAGAGCGAAGCAAGAGAGAGCGAGAAAACGAAACCCCUUUCCUCUUUAAAGAGAACAACAAUUGCCUAGGACGCAUCACUCCCUGAUUGGCUGCAGCCCAUGGCCGAGCUGACGUUCACGGGAAAAACAGAGUACAAGUAGUCGUAAAUA
Mus musculus (house mouse) is the source of this 402-nucleotide long non-coding RNA. RefSeq annotates it as predicted gene, 42376. Lineage: Eukaryota; Metazoa; Chordata; Mammalia; Rodentia; Muridae. The record is from RefSeq and is a predicted model, not a curated record. The transcript has 3 exons.